AAACACCGAAGUUAAGCAUCAUUGGGCGCGGUCAGUACUUGGGUGGGUGACCACCUGGGAACACUGCGUGCCGUU
RNAcentral lists this ribosomal RNA (75 nucleotides) under Caerostris darwini. Lineage: Eukaryota; Metazoa; Arthropoda; Arachnida; Araneae; Araneidae. The record is from RNAcentral.